Molecule: long non-coding RNA, 842 nt
Organism: Tachysurus vachellii
Lineage: Eukaryota; Metazoa; Chordata; Actinopteri; Siluriformes; Bagridae
Exons: 3
Source: RefSeq, a predicted model, not a curated record
GCAGCUGUAAUGGAAAAUUAGUGACUGAAGUAAAGCUGAAAGUUAUCAUUCCGACAGUUGUAAAAGCUUUCGAGGGGAAGAACGUCACUCUCCCGUGUUACGGAGACACUCGACAAGUCGUUAAAGAUGUAAAGUGGAAGAAAGAUGGACAAGAGGUUCUGCUGUACACUCCUGCAAACAGAUGGAUGACUAAACAAAACAGAUUCACGAUGUCAGUAGAAGGCUUUCUAGACGGUGAUCUCUCUCUUCACAUCAGUCCAGUUCACCUGUCUGAUACAGGAUUAUAUCAGUGUCUCAUCCACGAUGAAUCUCAGGACGGAGAACCACGAGCUGUGUUACUGAAGGUAGAAGGGCAACAACAAUUCACAACCACCAACAGUGCUAAAGUUUCAGGAUGGUUUGUACUGCUAGGAUUCUUCAUGUCUGUAGGGAUCAACAUCAUCGUCCUGAUCAUUUAAAUUACAUGAGAAAAUGCAGAGACCAGAUUUAAUCUAAAACGGCAGGAUCUUUAGCUUUCCUGUACAUCACUCUUCUGUUGUCCUGUGUGUUUCUUUUAUUCUGUGUGUUUAUUGUCCUGUUCUCAUCUCACACUGUUGUGUAUUUGCACUUUAUGCUGCAAUCUUAUGUACUAUUACGUGUUACACCAUGAUACUGGAACAUUUUUGUUCUAUCAUGUACAAGCUAUAAAGCUGUGAUGUGUGAAGGGACUCGUGGCUGGUGAGGCACUGACUCUUUUAAAGUCAGAUUUACAAAUAUAUAAAUUUAAUCGAGUAUCUUAAAUUCACCAUUCAGGUGGCUGCUUACACGUUGAUUAAUAGUUAUUUAAUGUCUCCUGUUUUAAC